UGGGGAAUUUUGGACAAUGGGGGCAACCCUGAUCCAGCAAUGCCGCGUGUGUGAAGAAGGCCUUCGGGUUGUAAAGCACUUUUGUCAGGGAAGAAACGGUGAAGGCUAAUAUCCUUUGCUAAUGACGGUACCUGAAGAAUAAGGACCGGCUAACUACGUGCCAGCAGCCGCGGUAAUACGUAGGGUCCAAGCGUUAAUCGGAAUUACUGGGCGUAAAGCGUGCGCAGGCGGUUGUGUAAGUCAGAUGUGAAAUCCCCGGGCUUAACCUGGGAAUGGCAUUUGNGACUGCACGGCUAGAGUGUGUCAGAGGGGGGUAGAAUUCCACGUGUAGCAGUGAAAUGCGUAGAGAUGUGGAGGAAUACCGAUGGCGAAGGCAGCCCCCUGGGAUAACACUGACGCUCAUGCACGAAAGCGUGGGGA
RNAcentral lists this ribosomal RNA (420 nucleotides) under uncultured bacterium. Its description in RNAcentral is "bacterial SSU rRNA". It matches the Rfam family "Bacterial small subunit ribosomal RNA", at positions 355 to 767 of the family's 1533-position model. The record is from RNAcentral.